RNAcentral lists this ribosomal RNA (252 nucleotides) under uncultured bacterium. RNAcentral describes it as "partial 16S ribosomal RNA". It matches the Rfam family "Bacterial small subunit ribosomal RNA", at positions 524 to 776 of the family's 1533-position model. The record is from RNAcentral.
UACGUAAGGACCGAGCGUUGUCCGGAAUCAUUGGGCGUAAAGGGUACGUAGGCGGUCUAGUAAGUUAGAAGUGAAAGGCUAUAGCUCAACUAUAGUAAGCUUUUAAAACUGUUUAACUUGGGAGAUGGAAGGGAAAGUGGAAUUCCUAGUGUAGCGGUGAAAUGCGCAGAUAUUAGGAGGAAUACCGGUGGCGAAGGCGACUUUCUGGCCAUUAUCUGACGCUCAUGUGCGAAAGCGUGGGGAGCAAACAGG